RNAcentral lists this transfer RNA (77 nucleotides) under Oscillospiraceae bacterium. RNAcentral's name for it is "tRNA-Pro". It matches the Rfam family "tRNA". Rfam says of the family: Transfer RNA (tRNA) molecules are approximately 80 nucleotides in length. Lineage: Bacteria; Bacillati; Bacillota; Clostridia; Eubacteriales; Oscillospiraceae. The record is from RNAcentral.
CGGGACGUGGCGAAGUUUGGUAUCGCGCCUGGUUUGGGACCAGGAUGCCGCAGGUUCGAGUCCUGUCGUCCCGACCA